This 468-nucleotide ribosomal RNA is filed under the name uncultured bacterium. Its description in RNAcentral is "partial 16S ribosomal RNA". It matches the Rfam family "Bacterial small subunit ribosomal RNA", at positions 28 to 507 of the family's 1533-position model. The record is from RNAcentral.
GACGAACGCUGGCGGCGUGCUUAACACAUGCAAGUCGAACGGAAAGGCCCUGCUUUUGUGGGGUGCUCGAGUGGCUAACGGGUGAGUAACACGUGAGUAACCUGCCCUCGACUUUGGGAUAACUUCAGGAAACUGGGGCUAAUACCGGCUCGGAGCUCCUCCUGCAUGGUGGGGGUUGGAAAGUUUCGGCGGGUGGGGAUGGACUCGCGGCUUAUCAGCUUGUUGGUGGGGUAGUGGCUUACCCAGGCUUUGACGGGUAGCCGGCCUGAGAGGGUGACCGGCCACAUUGGGACUGAGAGACGGCCCAGACUCCUACGGGAGGCAGCAGGGGGGAAUAUUGCACAAUGGGCGGAAGCCUGAUGCAGCAACGCCGCGUGCGGGAUGACGGCCUUCGGGUGGUAAACCGCUUUCGCCUGUGACGAAGCGUGAGUGACGGUAAUGGGUAAAGAAGCACCGGCUAACUACGUG